Long non-coding RNA from Anolis carolinensis (green anole), 2783 nucleotides. The record is from Ensembl. NCBI's taxonomy places the organism in Eukaryota, Metazoa, Chordata, Lepidosauria, Squamata, Anolidae.
GCAGGAUGGCUGGCAGGAUGGUGAGAGGCAGAAGAAAAGAAGGAGGGAAAGAAGCAGAGGAGGACAAGGUAACACCUGGCACAGACAACAUACGAAAGGAAGGAAGGAAGGCAGGCCCCAGAAAGUGCAUGAGACAGAAAACGACACAACAUACUGCCGAUCUUUCCUCCUCCGUGAGCAAAAGGUGCAUCACAGCUGCAGCAGAAGCACAGGAAGGCAGCGCUUGGCGAAAAGAACUUACAGUGGUAAGAUAAGCCCAUUAUAAAUGUGCAGCUUAAUGGAUUUCUGGAAAUAGGUUAUCCGGUGGUGGUGGCUGACACUGUUCUCCUAAUAAAUGAGAAUGAGGAGAUAAAAGAAAGUAAAAUAAACAAGUGCUUCGGCUCUAGUUUACUCUUCAUGAAUAUGAAUAAUGCAUGCAUUCUUGUCCUUUCCCAUUACACGAAGCCAUGCGUCAAUUUUACACACAAAGUGUGCUGAAUGCUAAUUGGGAAUUAGUGCCUUGGUGUGUGACACAUACCUCAGAAUUACAGCAACUGCUUAGUAUAGUGAGAGUUAAUAGGAGUCGCUUACUUGCCACACUUUCCUUCUGCUUUCUUAAGAGCUAUAUUAUUUAGCCACUUAAUUUGGCAUCAGCCCCAAGUGUGGCAUAUAAAAAUGCCAACCGAAAUGAAUCUGUUUUUCUCAGAACAAGGUUCCCAUCAUUUCAGCUUUUCUCAGGUCUACGGUUUUGACAAAGUUUUCUCCCCCUGUUCUUCUUGACCUUGUUUGAUGUGACUCAGGAAAAGGAUGGGGGAAUUUCAGAAGCAGUUUUCUAUUGAAACUCUAAUUAAUCACUAAAGGACUGUAGCUUUUCAAGGCAUAUAUACCCAGCAAAAAGAGCUGAAAUAUACUUUGGCUCUAAGGAUGGAAAUACAAUUCUCACAGUUUAGUGGGGGUCAAAUAGAAAAGCUACACUAACAUAGAGACUAAUUUCUUCUUUGCAUAUAUAUACCCGUAACUAAAGAAGGAAAGUAAUUGCUUCUGGCUUCCAGUUUAAAACCCCCUCUUAUUGGAAAAGGCAAGCAGAUAAGACUCUCAGCUCCUCUACUUAAGCAAUGUGUUUGCUGGUUGUGGUAUUCUCUCCUUUUGGGAGCCCAGAGGUGCAUCCAUCAUUUGGGCACUGAAUUAAAACCUUGCUCUUCAGCCAAGCUUUAGGAGUUAGGGAUCAUGCCCUGACUACAUUGUGAAGUUCUGAUACAGUGCAGCCUGUGCAAACUGUUUUAAAUGGUUGGAACCAUUCUAUGACGGGAUACCCAUCCUUAUUUUGUAAAUGUGAAUUUCUACUAUUGUAUUUCUUUUAAUAUUUGUAUGUUUCUGUUUAAUUAAUUGUUUAAUGAAAGCCAAAAUGAAAAUAAUUGUAGCAAUAAUACAGAUGUAUUGUGUUCAAUGGGGCUUACUUCCAAGUGAGUGUAUCUAUGUUUGCAGUCUUGUUCCAUUUCAAAUAAAUACAUAAAGCAAAUAAAGACUGACCAAAAGAAAGAAAUAAAGGGAGAGGAAAAGAAAGAAUCUAUUCUGUUUGGUUAAUGAAAAGGCUAUAUUUGAGAAUAGUCAAUGUCAAUAUGCAAAGAAAGACUGAAUUUAUUCUUAUGUAUACUUAGUUAAAAGUAGGCACUGCAGACAGCAGCAGGAUUUGCUUGUUGCAAUAGUCUUUGAACACUGGGUUGUAAAUGUUGGCAAGGAAAGUCAAAAUCAUGAUUAGAUUUAGGCCAAAGUCCAAGUCUCCAUUGCCCUCACUUUAACGUAUUUCCCCUUCCAGAUGCCAAGCUCCUACUAAAAAAAAUGGAAAGAAUGAAAACAAAUGUCAAGUCCAAAUGUCAACUCUCCAUUGUGUAAUUGAGAAUAAAUCCCUAUUGAUAUUGUGUAAUGAUUUAAACAGCUAGAAACAGAUCCCGGGAGUUAGAGGAUUAUAGGCACAACAAACGUUAAGAUUCCAGCGAACUCUGUUAAAAACAAACUCAAGAUCCUUUGCAUAUAUUGUUUUUAAAAGAGAACAAGAAUUCUACAGGCAGAGCUUUGCAUCUAAUAUGCAUCCUGGUGACUGUUUUAAAAUCAGGUCAAGUGCUAUGGUCAAAUUUAUUACUCAUGUAAAGGCUUAGAGUCACAGUGAAUUUGUCCUCCUGAUGGAUAGCCAUGGCUGAAUGUCAGAUUUAUAAUUGCUUUAUAAUUAAACCACUGAACCAUGUAUAAUUUGUGUAUAAAUACCAUAUACUAGUGGUUGGCUGCAGGGAAACACUUGGCAAAAAGUUGUUUAGUAUUAACUCUCGACAUACUCUUCCAGUAUGGAGAGCCUAGAAGUCCUUCAUCAGCACAAGUAUGAAACUGGAAAGUGUUAUGGAUUUGGGUUAUGAGCAGCAACUGAAGGGAAUGCCCAUUGAAAACUAACAAGGAAUGAGGCCAGGAAUCAUUCUCAUACAAUUUUGAAACAGCAGAUGGUGUGAGAAUCAGGACUAUUCAUGGGCCAGAUUCUGACUAAAGAGAUGGAGAUAUUGAGCAAUGAAGUGAUAUCUCUUUUUGCCAUGUUUUCCUGCUAAAACCAUUCAGCCAACCUGUUUUUCAUGACAUAAGAUUCCAGUUCAUGUUUUAUCAGCCCCAGUAAAUGGUAACUAAAUGGGAAAUGAGGUGCUGAGGAAAUCAUUAAACAACAAAUUACUUUAAUGGAUCCUUCCCUCAAAAUGAUACUUUUCCAAAGUAUGUUUUCAGAUAUAAGUAAUGAGGCCUCAUUACCUGCAUCUGUAUGUUACAUG